UUAACGAGUUAGGGUCUUCCAGGCCCGACCUCCCAACCCUAUGUUUAUUGAACCUCUGUUGCUUCGGCGGGCCCGUCUCACGACCGCCGGAGGAGUCGCCGCGAGGCACCCUCUGGCCAGCGUCCGCCGAUAGCCAACCUCAAAACUCUGAAUGAAUCGUGUCAUGAUGUCUAAGUCUAUGAUUAAAUUAAAGCAAAACUUUCAACAACGGAUCUCUUGGUUCUGGCAUCGAUGAAGAACGCAGCGAAAUGCGAUAAGUAAUGCGAAUUGCAGAAUUCCAGUGAGUCAUCGAAUCUUUGAACGCACAUUGCGCCCUUUGGUAUUCCGAAGGGCAUGCCUGUUCGAGCGUCAUUAUCACCCCUCAAGCCCCGUGCUUGGCGUUGGACGGCCGGUCGAGCAAUCGACCCCUCCGAAAGACAAUGACGGCGGCCUGUGGUUCCCCCGGUACACUGAGCUUUUCACGGAGCACGUACCGGACGAGGGCGCCCGGGACCCGGUCUUCUCCUCUCAGCAGGAAACUUCUAAGGUUGACCUCGGAUCAGGUAGGAAUACGCGCUGAACUUAA
This 565-nucleotide ribosomal RNA is filed under the name uncultured Chaetothyriales. RNAcentral's name for it is "eukaryotic LSU rRNA". The stretch from base 197 to 351 matches the Rfam family "5.8S ribosomal RNA". Lineage: Eukaryota; Fungi; Ascomycota; Eurotiomycetes; Chaetothyriales. The record is from RNAcentral.